CAGAGAGGCAGCAGAUAAGCCCUGUACUUGAAACAGUAGCUGCUGCAUGCCUGAGGAUCCUGGCAGAGGGGUCUGUGGACCGAAUCUGGUGGCUUGGUGGGCCAGAUCUGGCCUGAGAGAGUUUCUUCGAGGCGCUCUCAUUUUUCAGCUAUAGAAGACUUCCAAGUUUGUUCUCUGACUUCAUUACUUAAAGCAGGAAUGUAAGAAAAUUCCCAGACUGAAUCAUCACCUUUAAGAUUCAUAUCAGUUUUGAUAAGGAACUACCUGGCUUCAUCUUUUGAAUGACUAGGAAAACAGUGACAGAAGUCCUGUCAAGCACCUAGCCCAAUGGGAUUCUGGCACAUGACUAGGGAUCCUGUGCACAAAAUUAAUAGAAAUAAUAAAAAAUAAGGAAAAAGAGUUUUGAAAAUGCAGGGAAGAGGAGCUACAACACAAUUGACAAUACAUCUCCAAGACACAAGAUACUUAAGUACUAUCAUGAUCAAAGUCUUGGUUCAGAGCGAGGAGUUGUGUUGCAAGUCAGUGUGAUCAAGAUUACCGAAUCAUUUGAACUAGUUUACUCUUAUAAAGCUGCCUUCUGGGACCUCAUGGAUGGAAGUGAUGGCGGGGCUAUCAUUAGAUAAUGGUGAGAUUUCAGUUGUUUUUAUUAAUAGUAUGCAUAUAACUUGUUGAAAUACAUUUAUAUUUCCCCCUCAUCGAUCACUGAUCCACCUCAAAAGUAUUUUUUUAAAUUAAAUAAUCCCAUUAAGUUUUAGCCAUCAGUGCUGGAAAGUGAGGUGGUUUCUUUAGUGGCUGUGUGCUAAGGCCUUGAUCCUGCAAGCUGGAAUAUUUGCCACAAUAAAGUUAAGCAAAUGCAUAAAUUAUUGCAAGAUCAGGGCUUAAAGCUAUUCCCUCCAGGCAUAUGAACUAGGCCCUGAUCCUGAACACACUUAUACAUGUUUAUUUAAGGCACUGGGGCAGGGCUUCUCACUUUGUGCGGCCCGGAUUGUUGUGUGUGACCCCAAAAAGGUUCUCCACCACUGCUCUAGCUGAACUCCAGAUUAGCAGGUUACACAAACUGAAGAGGUAACAUCGGUCCCUUGUUU
This is a long non-coding RNA of Pelodiscus sinensis (Chinese soft-shelled turtle), 1085 nucleotides long. RefSeq lists it as uncharacterized. NCBI's taxonomy places the organism in Eukaryota, Metazoa, Chordata, Testudines, Trionychidae. The record is from RefSeq and is a predicted model, not a curated record.